UACAGAGGUCCCGAGCGUUGUUCGGAUUCACUGGGCGUAAAGGGUGCGUAGGUGGUGACGUAAGUCGGAUGUGAAAUCUCGGAGCUUAACUCCGAAACUGCAUUGGAAACUGCGUUGCUAGAGGGUUGGAGGGGGGACUGGAAUGCUUGGUGUAGCAGUGAAAUGCGUAGAUAUCAAGCGGAACACCAGUGGCGAAGGCGAGUCCCUGGACAACACCUGACACUGAGGCACGAAAGCUAGGGGAGCAAACAGG
Molecule: ribosomal RNA, 253 nt
Filed under: uncultured bacterium
Lineage: Bacteria
Description: partial 16S ribosomal RNA
Rfam family: Bacterial small subunit ribosomal RNA
Source: RNAcentral